Molecule: unclassified non-coding RNA, 207 nt
Filed under: uncultured fungus
Lineage: Eukaryota; Fungi
Description: sequence contains ITS1
Source: RNAcentral
UUAACAAAUUUUGCUUUUCGCUCAGACUGCAUACUUCAGACAGCGUUCACAGGUGGCUUCGGCGGGCGCGGGCCCGGGGGCAGAUGCCCCCCGGCGGCCGUGAGGCGGGCCCGCCGAAGCAACAAGGUUCGUUAAACACGGGUGGGAGGUUGGACCCCGAGGGGCCCUCACUCAGUAAUGAUCCUUCCGCAGGUUCACCUACGGAAA